AUUGAACGCUGGCGGCAGGCCUAACACAUGCAAGUCGAGCGGCAGCGGGAGGAAGCUUGCUUCCUCGCCGGCGAGCGGCGGACGGGUGAGUAAUGUCUGGGAAACUGCCCGAUGGAGGGGGAUAACUACUGGAAACGGUAGCUAAUACCGCAUAACGUCUACGGACCAAAGUGGGGGACCUUCGGGCCUCACACCAUCGGAUGUGCCCAGAUGGGAUUAGCUGGUAGGUGGGGUAAUGGCUCACCUAGGCGACGAUCCCUAGCUGGUCUGAGAGGAUGACCAGCCACACUGGAACUGAGACACGGUCCAGACUCCUACGGGAGGCAGCAGUGGGGAAUAUUGCACAAUGGGCGCAAGCCUGAUGCAGCCAUGCCGCGUGUGUGAAGAAGGCCUUCGGGUUGUAAAGCACUUUCAGCGAGGAGGAAGGCGUUGUAGUUAAUAACUGCAGCGAUUGACGUUACUCGCAGAAGAAGCACCGGCUAACUCCGUGCCAGCCGCCGCCGUAACAC
Molecule: ribosomal RNA, 509 nt
Filed under: uncultured bacterium
Lineage: Bacteria
Description: bacterial SSU rRNA
Rfam family: Bacterial small subunit ribosomal RNA
Source: RNAcentral